AUUAUUCAACACAAAUUGGGGACUGUUUAUUUUAUAAAGAAAUUGCUGACAAAGUAUCCUAAUUCCCGUGGUUAAAUGGUGGUUUCGUUUAGCCUGUUCACCUAAAUUGGAAAAAUCGUAUAUUGCAAAGCAAAGGAGGAACAGAGGUUGAUAGGUUAAAUUAUAAUAAUAAAACCACAAAAUUCCUUUCUGCCCUUUCAUGCCAUCAUUUAUUAUGAUAAGAUACAAAAAUCCUUUAUAUAUGCCCUGAAGCCCGAUAAAAAUAAUCUAUAACCACAUAUUUGAAAAGUCUUAAAUUUGCCCUAUCGUUUUUUAUCAUUCCCGAACCCAAACAACCAAUUAGUGGUCGUAAUUUUAGUUGUUGUCAUAAAACAAGUUACCGCUACUCAUUAUCUUAAAUUAAGAAGCCGGUGAUAUUGCAAAAAGAAACAAUAAGCUUAAGGACAACGCAAUUAGCCAGCUGGUGUUAUCUAUCUUUUUCAAGAAACCAAGUCAAUGCAUUUGAUUGGUUGCCUAGUUUCCUCUCAUUAAAAGUAUGCCUAUUAUUGGUCCAUUCCUCCCCUCAUUAGAAAUUGCCUAAAAACAACCUAACAUCUUUUUAGAUGUUAAAAACUUGAAAAACACAGCUUAUGCAAGAAGAUACAGAGAGCACAGCGCCAUGAUCGUUUCUAAAGUGAUGCUGUCAAUGUUUCUGUUGCUAUGGCGACAUAUCUAUGCAGAUGUUUGCGAUGGCUUCUUUGAACUGCCGAAUUCCAUGCUACAUGGUCACGUGAUCGAGACAAUAACUACAACCAAGAAAGUCUGUCGAAUGACUUGCAAUAGGAACAGCGCUUGUUAUUCGAUAAACUACAUCCCUCAGAAAUCGCAAUGCCAGUUGAGUGGUGCUACACACUUCGCGUUUCCGGCUCACUUCACACCUGGCGCAGCGCCUGGAGCAUUCUACGCUAUAGUUAAGCCGCUGACCAACUGCAGUAACGAUCUUUGCAGUAGUGGUAUGGCAUGCAUGAUGAGGGAAGGCGGGAAGGCGUACAGAUGCGGUAAGAUAUAAGAGAGGGCGGGAAGGCGUACAGAUGCGUGCACCAGGACCAGAUCUACGUGCGAUCAUCGGAGCUUACUGGAGAGAUCAGAUUGGACGGUAUAAGCUUCCAUUUAGUAAAAAUAGUAGAUGGCAUUCACAUCAAUCGCGGUCACAACUUCGUCUCCUUCGACUGCGCAAGUAAUCACAUCAUAUCUAAUGCCACCUUCGACACGCACGGUGACUCUAGCGCAGGCUCUAAGAUUGUGAAUUACAUCAAUGGCCUCCCGAAUGACGUUAUGGUUGCCAUAGCAGUGGUGGACGACGGAAGUCAAUAUUUAUCCAGUGCAGCAAGGGCAGCCAUCUCAAGCCUGGGGGCGACCAGCACCUUCCUCUCACUGAGGCAGACGUACGCGUUUAUUGGUUACAAGGGACACACGAAACCUUUGUGGAUCAAGGAAGCAAAAAAUAACGAAGGGGUCGACUCUGAAGUGACUGUCAAAUGCAAAUGUAAAACAUGCUAGAAGCGAGUAUUUAAUCACAUAACAUAACAAAGUAAAGUUUGAUAUUCUAAACAGCGCCCCAACAGAUAUAGCUGAGUACCAGAGAACCCAAGAGUGCAUGUAGUGGAGAAAUAGGAACUUCCCACUAAAAGCGUCACCUCGUCCUUUUUGAGAGUUGGGAUUUAAGCAUCAUUGUCUGUUUUGUACUCUAAACUAACGGCAGAAAGCUGGAUGACAUUUCACUAACAUUUUACUAAACGCAGAUCUAAUUAUUCCAUUGUAUAUCGCUGUGACAAAUUGUCAAAGCGUUCUGUUCAGAAGACUGGAUUAAUAAAUAAUCUAGAAAA
This is an RNA transcript of Nematostella vectensis (starlet sea anemone), 1865 nucleotides long. RefSeq lists it as uncharacterized. NCBI's taxonomy places the organism in Eukaryota, Metazoa, Cnidaria, Anthozoa, Actiniaria, Edwardsiidae. The transcript has 5 exons. The record is from RefSeq and is a predicted model, not a curated record.